RNAcentral lists this small RNA (734 nucleotides) under Pongo abelii (Sumatran orangutan). RNAcentral describes it as "processed transcript". The record is from RNAcentral. Lineage: Eukaryota; Metazoa; Chordata; Mammalia; Primates; Hominidae.
GGGAGAAGGAGGGCCAAGAUGGCGGAAGCGGAGGAGUCUCCAGGAGACCCGGGGACAGCAUCGCCCAGGCCCCUGGUGAGCUUGGGAUCUGCGACAAAAGGGACCGAGGUUUGCAGGCCUUUCAGAUAUAUCCAUCUCACAAGACAUCCCCGUAGAAGGAGAAAUCACCAUUCCUAUGAGAUCUCGCAUCCGGGAGUUUGACAGCUCCACAUUAAAUGAAUCUGUUCGCAAUACCAUCAUGCGUGAUCUAAAAGCUGUUGGGAAAAAAUUCAUGCAUGUUUUGUACCCAAGGAAAAGUAAUACUCUUUUGAGAGAUUGGGAUUUGUGGGGCCCUUUGAUCCUUUGUGUGACACUCGCAUUAAUGCUGCAAAGAGACUCUGCAGAUAGUGAAAAAGAUGGAGGGCCCCAAUUUGCAGAGGUGUUUGUCAUUGUCUGGUUUGGUGCAGUUACCAUCACCCUCAACUCAAAACUUCUUGGAGGGAACAUAUCUUUUUUUCAGAGCCUCUGUGUGCUGGGUUACUGUAUACUUCCCUUGACAGUAGCAAUGCUGAUUUGCCGGCUGGUACUUUUGGCUGAUCCAGGACCUGUAAACUUCAUGGUUCGGCUUUUUGUGGUGAUUGUGAUGUUUGCCUGGUCUAUAGUUGCCUCCACAGCUUUCCUUGCUGAUAGCCAGCCUCCAAACCGCAGAGCCCUAGCUGUUUAUCCUGUUUUCCUGUUUUACUUUGUCAUCAGUU